GACGAACGCUGGCGGCGUGCUUAACACAUGCAAGUCGAGCGAACAGACGAGGAGUUUGCUCCUCUGACGAUAGCGGCGGACGGGUGAGUAACAUGUGGAUAACCUACUUAUAAGACUGGGAUAUUUACGGGAAACCGGCGCUAAUACCGGAUAAUAUAUUGAACCGCAUGGUUCAAUAGUGAAAGUCGGCUUUGCUGUCACUAAUAGAUGGAUACGCGCCGCAUUAGCUAGUUGGUAAGGUAACGGCUUACCAAGGCGACGAUGCGUAGCCGACCUGAGAGAAGGGUCGGCCGCACGAGAGGUGGAACACGCUCCAGGCGCCUGCGGGAAGCAGCAGUAUGGUAUGUUCCGCAGUAGGCGGGAACAUGACAGAGCGGCGCCGCGUGAGUGGUGGAAGUGUUCUGAGCGGAAAGCUCUGUUUUUAGUGGAAAACAAAUGUUGAAUUAGCUGUAGAGGUCUUGACGGUACCGAGUCAAGAAGCCACGGCUAACUACGUG
RNAcentral lists this ribosomal RNA (497 nucleotides) under uncultured bacterium. Its description in RNAcentral is "partial 16S ribosomal RNA". It matches the Rfam family "Bacterial small subunit ribosomal RNA", at positions 28 to 507 of the family's 1533-position model. The record is from RNAcentral.